This 253-nucleotide ribosomal RNA is filed under the name uncultured bacterium. RNAcentral describes it as "partial 16S ribosomal RNA". It matches the Rfam family "Bacterial small subunit ribosomal RNA", at positions 524 to 776 of the family's 1533-position model. The record is from RNAcentral.
UACAGAGGUCUCAAGCGUUGUUCGGAUUCAUUGGGCGUAAAGGGUGCGUAGGCGGCGAGGUUAGUCGGAUGUGAAAUCCCAGGGCUCAACCCUGGAACUGCAUUCGAUACUGUCUUGCUAGAGUACUGGAGAGGAGACUGGAAUUUACGGUGUAGCAGUGAAAUGCGUAGAUAUCGUAAGGAAGACCAGUGGCGAAGGCGAGUCUCUGGACAGUUACUGACGCUGAGGCACGAAGGCCAGGGGAGCAAACGGG